UUUUUUUUUUUUUUAAGACGGAGUCUUCCUCUGUCACCCAGGCUGGAGUGCAGUGGUACCAUUUUAGGUCACAGCAACCUCCACUUCCUAGGUUCAAGCGAUCCUCCUGCCUCAGCCUCCCAAGUAGCUGGGACUACAGGCACACACCCGGCUAAUUUUUAUAUUUUUAGUAGAGAUGGAGUUUCACCAUGUCGGCCAGGCUGGUCUUGAACUCCUGACCUCAAGUGAUCCACCUCCCUUGGCCUCCCGAAGUGCUGAGAUUAUAGGCGUGAGCCACUGUGCCCAACCCAGAUGCCAUUUUAAAGGCUCCAUUAAACAUGUUUAAAUUGAUUGGCUCAAGUCAGUAUGAGUUCAGGGAAGCACCUUACAUAUCAAUAAUCAUAUUUGGCUGUACCUAACACAGCCAACCACAAUGGCUUAACCCAGUAGAGGUCUGUUCUUCCCAUGGAACAGCAAGUCUGCAAUGACUUCAAGAUCAAAGCUCCUUCUGCCUUUUGGAAGGCAGCAAGUGUAGUCCGCAUUCCAACCCAGAAGAGAGAAACAUGAGGGAUGAAAAGAACAUGGCCGCUUUACCAGAAAAACGACAGUGUUUCUAGAAGACCCACCCAUAGAUGUCUGCUUACAAAACAUUGGCCAGGACUUAGUUUUUUGGCCACCUCAGCUCCAAAAGACCCUAGGAAAUCAAGUUUUUAGCCAGGUCCUCUGCUAUCCCUAACGAAAUCAGGGUUCUGCUAGCCAGGAAGUGGGGGGAUGGACAGGGUUGUCUGCCACAGGCCACAAACACUGCAGCAUCCAUGCAACCAGUGAAGAGAAGAUGACUGAUGUGUUUUGGAAAGCACAGUAUGAAAAGUAACGAAAGAACACAACAGAGCAAGGCCAAAUAUGUCCCAGACAAUAAGGUCAUGCUGACCUUUUGAGAAGAAGAGGAUGUUCAGACAGGACGUGGUACUGCGAGGGAAACACAAAAAUAUCAAAGUGUUAUUUUACAAUCCUGCAGAGGUGGCUAUUUCCACUAAGUAUGGCACACAGAUUUCCCUUAGAGGGUACUCUUGCCAGGAUUUCACAUGCCACUUCAUUUCACCCUCAAACAGUCCUAUGACUCUUGGCCCUGUCCUCAAGAGUCAUGGACACUUCCCCUCCCUCUGUCAUGCCACCCCAUCUAAUGGCCAUCAAUUAGUGAUUGCACUGCAACCUGUUUAGCAUUACAACCUGUCUCCUGGGCCUGGCCAUGAGGAGCCCCAGCCCACCUCCUUCAGACCGUUGAACAAGCUCUUUCCUCUUCACCAAGCCUUAUCAAUAAUGUCCAACUUGUCUUCUGCAACGAACACCUUCUACUGAGGGGAGGGAGAAAAAAGAUGAAUUUUAUACUGAAGUGUUUAAUAAUUUCAUUAUGAGGAGUACAAAUUUGCACUGGCAAAUUUAAAUACAAUGUGUACUCUGUGUGUGUGUGUGUGUACUCGCGUGUGUGCAUUUCUUCAGACAUGAUAAACUGUGAUCCCUUUCCUAUGAAUAAAGAGACCUUGGGCUGAGCCUGAAUGAGCCUGAGAAAAGAUCUGUCCCAGUAUGAAUUCAUGGGUACCAUCCUCUCAGAAAGCAGUUCCAUACUGUGCCAGACACUUUGAGCCAAUCUAGAGAGGAGAGACGGUGGUAACUGAUGGAGACCCCCAAAUCAUAAGCUGCAUAGGCUGCGAACACAGUGAGCCGGGGGCAAAGAAGCUAAAGCCUCCCAGGGCCUGUCUGUGGUCACCUGGAAAAGGAAACAGGAAGGGGACUGAUGAGAAAGACUGAAAACCAGGGUUGUUUGCACGUCCUCCCGUCUUUUUAGUUUUCAUUUGAAUCACAACAUUAAGACUUCUGCUCGGCACACCAGACAUCUAUCCGAAAUAUAGCUUAGAACUCAAGGACAGUU
Long non-coding RNA from Macaca fascicularis (crab-eating macaque), 1909 nucleotides. NCBI's taxonomy places the organism in Eukaryota, Metazoa, Chordata, Mammalia, Primates, Cercopithecidae. The record is from Ensembl.